This 414-nucleotide ribosomal RNA is filed under the name Lampsilis radiata radiata. Its description in RNAcentral is "partial 16S ribosomal RNA". It matches the Rfam family "Bacterial large subunit ribosomal RNA", at positions 1960 to 2607 of the family's 2925-position model. Lineage: Eukaryota; Metazoa; Mollusca; Bivalvia; Unionida; Unionidae. The record is from RNAcentral.
CGUAAUAAAUAGCCUCUUAAUUGGAGGCCAGUGAAUGGCAAGACUAGGGACAUCUGUACCCUGUAUAGGAAAACAACUUUUCAUCUGGGUGAAAAGACCCAAAUAAUAAAGGAAGACGAAAAGACCCCGCGGAACUUUACCUUUUCCAGUACCAUCAAUGCUCAGAAACAUAAGAACAAAAGGUUUGAUUGGGGCAAUCUCGGAACCAUCCAAACCUCCGACUUAUAGCAUAAAAGUAUAUAAAACUCAAUGUGGACCAAAAAGAAGUUACCCCGGGGAUAACAGCGUAAUCCAACUUGAGAGUACACAUCGAAAGUUGGGUUUGCGACCUCGAUGUUGGCUUAAGGAUAUCCACAUAAGUGCAACCGCUAUGAUAGGAUAGUCUGUUCGACUAUUAUACCCUUACACGAGCUG